GACGAACGCUGGCGGCGUGCCUAAUACAUGCAAGUAGAACGCACAGUUUAUACCGUAGCUUGCUACACCAUAGACUGUGAGUUGCGAACGGGUGAGUAACGCGUAGGUAACCUGCCUGGUAGCGGGGGAUAACUAUUGGAAACGAUAGCUAAUACCGCAUAAUAUUAAUUAUUGCAUGAUAAUUAAUUGAAAGGUGCAAUUGCACCACUACCAGAUGGACCUGCGUUGUAUUAGCUAGUAGGUGAGGUAACGGCUCACCUAGGCGACGAUACAUAGCCGACCUGAGAGGGUGAUCCGCCACACUGGGACUGAGACACGGCCCAGACUCCUACGGGAGGCAGCAGUAGGGAAUCUUCGGCAAUGGACGAAAGUCUGACCGAGCAACGCCGCGUGAGUGAAGAAGGUUUUCGGAUCGUAAAGCUCUGUUGUAAGAGAAGAACGGGUGUGAGAGUGGAAAGUUCACACUGUGACGGUAUCUUACCAGAAAGGGACGGCUAACUACGUG
This 505-nucleotide ribosomal RNA is filed under the name uncultured bacterium. RNAcentral describes it as "partial 16S ribosomal RNA". It matches the Rfam family "Bacterial small subunit ribosomal RNA", at positions 28 to 507 of the family's 1533-position model. The record is from RNAcentral.